This 404-nucleotide ribosomal RNA is filed under the name uncultured bacterium. Its description in RNAcentral is "bacterial SSU rRNA". It matches the Rfam family "Bacterial small subunit ribosomal RNA", at positions 355 to 773 of the family's 1533-position model. The record is from RNAcentral.
UGGGGAAUAUUGCGCAAUGGGGGAAACCCUGACGCAGCAACGCCGCGUGAAGGAUGAAGGUUUUCGGAUUGUAAACUUCUUUGAUGAGGGACGAAACAAAUGACGGUACCUCAAAAACAAGCCACGGCUAACUACGUGCCAGCAGCCGCGGUAUUACGUAGGUGGCAAGCGUUGUCCGGAUUUACUGGGCGUAAAGGGAGCGUAGGCGGACUUUUAAGUGAGAUGUGAAAUACCCGGGCUCAACCUGGGUGCUGCAUUUCAAACUGGAAGUCUAGAGUGCAGGAGAGGAGAGUGGAAUUCCUAGUGUAGCGGUGAAAUGCGUAGAGAUUAGGAAGAACACCAGUGGCGAAGGCGACUCUCUGGACUGUAACUGACGCUGAGGCUCGAAAGCGUGGGGAGCAAAC